GUGGGGAAUAUUGGACAAUGGGCGAAAGCCUGAUCCAGCCAUGCCGCGUGUGUGAAGAAGGCCUUCGGGUUGUAAAGCACUUUAAGCGAGGAGGAAAGGUUGAAGGUUAAUACCCUUUAGCUGUGACGUUACUCGCAGAAUAAGCACCGGCAAACUUCGUGCCAGCAGCCGCGGUAAUACGAAGGGUGCAAGCGUUAAUCGGAAUUAAUGGGCGUAAAGCGCGCGUAGGUGGUUAAGUAAGCGAUCUGUGAAAGACCCGGGCUCAACCUGGGAAUUGCAGGUCGAACUGCUUGGCUAGAGUAUGGUAGAGGGGUGUGGAAUUCCAGGUGUAGCGGUGAAAUGCGUAGAUAUCUGGAGGAACAUCAGUGGCGAAGGCGACUUUCUGGACGAUGUCUGACGCUGAGGCGCGAAAGCUAGGGGAGCGAACGGGAUUAGAUACCCUAGUAGUCC
RNAcentral lists this ribosomal RNA (450 nucleotides) under uncultured bacterium. Its description in RNAcentral is "partial 16S ribosomal RNA". It matches the Rfam family "Bacterial small subunit ribosomal RNA", at positions 354 to 796 of the family's 1533-position model. The record is from RNAcentral.